CCAAACUUGGUCAUUUAGAGGAAGUAAAAGUCGUAACAAGGUCUCCGUCGGUGAACCAGCGGAGGGAUCAUUAUAGAGUGUUAAAACUCCCUAAACCCGUGUGAACAAUACCUUUUGUUGCUUCGGCGAGUCGUCCCGGGCGCCGCUGCGUGCCCCGGAUCCAGGCGCUCGCCGGAGGACUCCAACUCUUGUUUUGCAAGUGGUAUCUCUGAGUGUACCAAACAAAUAAAUCAAAACUUUCAACAACGGAUCUCUUGGUUCUGGCAUCGAUGAAGAACGCAGC
RNAcentral lists this unclassified non-coding RNA (283 nucleotides) under uncultured fungus. Its description in RNAcentral is "partial contains small subunit ribosomal RNA, internal transcribed spacer 1, and 5.8S ribosomal RNA". The stretch from base 1 to 73 matches the Rfam family "Eukaryotic small subunit ribosomal RNA", at positions 1759 to 1831 of the family's 1831-position model. Lineage: Eukaryota; Fungi. The record is from RNAcentral.